RNAcentral lists this transfer RNA (73 nucleotides) under Paraplanobispora siamensis. RNAcentral describes it as "Planobispora siamensis tRNA-Phe". It matches the Rfam family "tRNA". Rfam says of the family: Transfer RNA (tRNA) molecules are approximately 80 nucleotides in length. Their secondary structure includes four short double-helical elements and three loops (D, anti-codon, and T loops). The record is from RNAcentral. Lineage: Bacteria; Bacillati; Actinomycetota; Actinomycetes; Streptosporangiales; Streptosporangiaceae.
GACUCUCUAGCUCACCCGGUAGAGCACCCGGCUGAAAACCGGGGGGAUGGGGUUCGAUUCCCUGGGGAGUCAC